AGUGAACGCUGGCGGUAGGCCUAACACAUGCAAGUCGAACGGCAGCACAGUAAGAGCUUGCUCUUACGGGUGGCGAGUGGCGGACGGGUGAGGAAUACAUCGGAAUCUACUUUUUCGUGGGGGAUAACGUAGGGACACUUACGCUAAUACCGCAUACGACCUACGGGUGAAAGCAGGGGAUCUUCGGCCCUUGCGCGAUUGAAUGAGCCGAUGUCGGAUUAGCUAGUUGGCGGGGUAAAGGCCCACCAAGGCGACGAUCCGGAGCUGGUCUGAGAGGAUGAUCAGGCACACUGGAACUGAGACAGGGGCCAGACUCCUACGGGAGGAAGCAGUGGGGAAUAUUGGACAAUGGGCGAAAGCCUGAUCCAGCCAUGCCGCGUGUGUGAAGAAGGCCUUCGGAUUGUAAAGCACUUUUGGUGGGGAGGAAGGGCAGCAAGUUAAUACCCUGCUGUUCUGACGGUACCAAAAGAAUAAGCACCGGCUAACUUCGUG
RNAcentral lists this ribosomal RNA (492 nucleotides) under uncultured bacterium. Its description in RNAcentral is "partial 16S ribosomal RNA". It matches the Rfam family "Bacterial small subunit ribosomal RNA", at positions 29 to 507 of the family's 1533-position model. The record is from RNAcentral.